GCUGGGCGCAGUGGUGCACGCCUGUAAUCCCAGAGGCGCAGGAGGUUGAGACAGGAGGAUGGCAAGUUCAAAGCCAGCCUCGGCAAUGACAAGGUGCUAAGCAGCUCAGUGAGACCCUGUCUCUA
Molecule: small RNA, 125 nt
Filed under: Marmota monax (woodchuck)
Lineage: Eukaryota; Metazoa; Chordata; Mammalia; Rodentia; Sciuridae
Source: RNAcentral